Molecule: RNA transcript, 2436 nt
Organism: Lucilia sericata (common green bottle fly)
Lineage: Eukaryota; Metazoa; Arthropoda; Insecta; Diptera; Calliphoridae
Gene: Sema1a
Gene name: semaphorin-1A
Exons: 19
Source: RefSeq, a predicted model, not a curated record
CUUUGUAGGUCCUGAAGAUGUUUUAAAAUUUCUCGGAAAUGAAAGUGCCGUGGAUCACUUCAAACUGGUAACGCGUGAUGGUGAUUCUUUACUAGUGGGUGCUAGAAACAUAGUCUUCAAUUUAAGCAUACAUGAUCUACAAGAACAACAACGUUUAGUAUGGAAUUCACCCGAAGAUGAUCAAAAAAUGUGUGUUGUCAAGGGUAAAGAUGAGGAGGCGUGCCAAAAUUAUAUACGCAUCAUGGUUGUUACCUCGCCUGGACGUUUAUUUGUAUGCGGUACAAAUUCAUUUCGUCCCAUGUGUAACACUUACAUAAUCAACGACAACAAUUAUACCCUGGAGGCAACUAAAAAUGGACAAGCUGUUUGUCCAUACGAUCCACGACAUAAUUCAACAUCAGUAUUUGCUGAUAAUGAAUUGUAUUCGGGCACAGUGGCUGAUUUCAGUGGCAGUGAUCCGAUUAUCUAUAGAGAACCAUUACAAACAGAGCAAUAUGAUAGCUUAAGUCUUAAUGCACCAAAUUUUGUUAGCUCUUUUACCCAGGGCGAUUUUGUAUAUUUCUUAUUUCGUGAAACAGCGGUGGAAUAUAUAAAUUGUGGAAAAUCUAUAUUUUCGCGUGUGGCACGUGUUUGUAAAUGGGACAAGGGUGGACCACAUCGUUUCCGCAAUCGUUGGACUUCAUUUUUAAAGUCACGUUUAAAUUGUUCCAUACCUGGCGAUUAUCCCUUCUACUUCAAUGAAAUACAAUCUGCUAGUAAUCUUGUCGAAGGACAUUAUGGUCACUCAAGCGCCAAAUUGAUUUAUGGCGUUUUUAAUACACCAACAAAUUCAAUUCCUGGCUCAGCAGUUUGUGCAUUUUCAUUGCAGGAUAUUGCGGAUACAUUUGAGGGCAGUUUUAAGGAACAAAGUGGCAUCAACUCUAAUUGGCUGCCGGUCAAUAAUGCCAAGGUACCCGAACCACGUCCCGGAUCAUGCCAUAAUGAUUCACGAACACUUCCGGAUCCGACAUUAAAUUUCAUCAAAACACAUUCACUAAUGGAUGAAAAUGUUCCGGCAUUUUUCGGUCAACCAAUUUUGGUUAGAACAAGCACUAUAUAUCGCUUUACACAGAUAGCGGUAGAUGCUCAAAUCAAAACGCCGGGUGGCAAAACUUAUGAUGUGAUAUUUGUGGGCACUGAUCAUGGUAAAAUCAUAAAAUCUGUUAAUGCAGAAUCAGCGGAUUCAGAUAAAAAGGUGACCUCAGUGGUAAUAGAAGAAAUUGAUGUUUUGCCAAAAAGUGAGCCCAUACGCAAUUUGAGAAUAGUGAGAACAAUGCAGUAUGAUCAACCCAAAGAUGGCAGUUACGAUGAUGGUAAAUUAAUCAUUGUCACUGAUAGUCAAGUGAUUGCCAUACAAUUGCAUCGUUGUCACAACGAUAAAAUCACCAGUUGCAGCGAAUGUGUUGCACUGCAGGAUCCAUAUUGUGCCUGGGAUAAAAUUGCUGGCAAAUGUCGUUCACAUGGUGCGCCACGUUGGCUUGAAGAGAACUAUUAUUAUCAGAAUGUCACAACUGGCCAACAUGCUGCAUGCCCCUCAGGUAAAAUCAAUUCCAAAGAUGCCAAUGUUGGUGAACAGAAAGGCUAUCGUGAUGAUAUGGGUCUUUUGGAUCAAAGACGUCAAAGUAAAGAUCAGGAAAUGAUCAAUAUUAUGCAAGAUAAAAACUUUGAAGGUCCACAAAUUUCUCCAGAUAUAAUCAAUGCUCAAUAUACUGUUGAAACCUUAGUGAUGGCUGUUUUGGCGGGUUCCAUAUUCUCGCUAUUAGUUGGUUUCUUUACCGGCUACUUUUGUGGUCGUCGUUGUCAUAAGGAUGAGGAUGAUAAUUUACCCUAUCCCGAUACGGAAUAUGAAUAUUUUGAACAACGGCAAAAUGUUAAUAGAAUUCAAGCUGAACCCAAAUUAUUACCUCAAGUUGAAGAGGUAACCUAUGCUGAACCGGUAUUAUUACCUCAACCACCAAGUCAAAAUAAAAUGCAUUCACCAAAGAGUACUUUACGUAAACCCAUGCAACAUCAUGGUGCACCCAAUUCCGAAACAUUCUUCCAAUUUCAGCCCGAUGGCUAUAAUACACAACAAACAUAUCGUUGUCGCGAUAAUUUCGGUACUUUAAGAUCUCAUCAAGUUAUGGGUGAUAAUUAUCGUCGUGGUGAUGGCUUUUCCACCACUCGCAGUGUCAAGAAGGUUUACCUUUGAGACGGGAGUGGGGCGGCUGAAACCAGUCAGGGAUUAAUUACCCAAAAUAUGUAACUCAACACCGUUCCAAUAGUCCACAACACUCUAGUUCGGCCUCAUCGCCUGUUAUGUCAAAUAGUAGUUCUAGUCCAGCACCACCAUCCAGCAGUCCAAGUCCGCAAGAGAGCCCCAAGAAUUGUAGUUAUAUAUAUCGUGAUUGAUUGAUC